CAGCCUACGGCGCUAGACUUCCAAUUGACACUGCCUACUAAGCUAUAAUGAACUUUGACAAAAACUAUGGGGCAAGAUAACCCUAAACCCAAACAUGAAACCUAACCCUAACUCUAACCCUAACCUUACAUUGUUUUUUGACACAGCCUACUGCGCUAUAUUGCUCUUUGACACAGUCUUAGGCGCUAUAUUGCCCUUUGAAAUCAUAAACCACACACCAGAGACAAGACAACCUUGAAUAUUUUAUUUUUUAUAAGUAGAUGCCAUUAACACAAGUUAUUUAGUGUAAAUAAGAUAAUCUGCCCAUUACAAGGGAUGAAAAUGUGCCUGCUAAUUGGUCUCAAAUUAGUUAAAUGAGAAUAAAGCUAGUAUACUUGUUAGCAAGUUGCCCUUUGGCCAAAUAGAAUUUUGCUGUGAGCUACAAUACUUUAUUUGAUCAACCAGCAAAAAUUCUGUUAAGCCAGUGGUUGAAAAUUAAAAGAGUUGUUUCUACUUGCAAAAGUCAGUCAUUUCUUUCAAUCACUUAAGCAAUCUAAGAAGUAAGCAAAUUAAAUCAUUCUACAAUACUAAAUAGUAGGAAUCUUCAAGUAAAUAUAGAAUUCAAUGUAUUCCAUUAUAGUGUGAUCAACACAGUUUACUUCACUGGUUUAUCUGUAACUGCCACUUUAUUUUAUAGGAGAUCAUUUCAGAAGUCUGUGGGGACCAUAUGCUGGAUGGGCACAUUCGGUAAGUUUUGUUCAAAAGUUUAUGGUAGACAUUGAAUAUACAACCAUUGAUAUAAGUGAUCAGAUUAAGGUGGUAGACCUUGUUUCAGGGAGAUUACUCUUUAAAUCAGUUAUGUGUUUGUAAAAGUAAAGUUUCAUCAAUGUAUUUUAAGCAUUUACCUGAAACAGAUUGAAAAUAGUCUAUGUAACCUAGAAGCUUAGAAUAUAUUUUUGAAAAUGGUUGACACAAACGUACUGAUGAUUUUAAGAGUUAUUUCUUACCUAAUGACUCACCUUAAGGUAGCACAAUACAAAAUUUAUAACUCCAAUCCAAGUUAAAUGCUGUACUUUCUUAAUAAUGCUUGAAAUUUAUAAUUUGUAGUUUGUCUAACAGAUUACUCUUUAAAUAAAUACAAUUUAGUAUUAUGCAAACAAUUUAAUGUAACAAUAUAAUGUUAACUUGUCUUAAAAUAUUUUCCACCAAUUUUCACUUUCAAAUGAAUUACUUCUGCAUUAGGUUCCAUAGAGGUUGAUUUAUUAUAUGUUGUUCCUAUGCCAUUAUCUACAAAAUGGUUCUCAGAUUUCAAUAGAAUGUAUAGAACAAAUUUUACACCUAAUGAACAUUAUCUUCUUUAUGUGUUAGGAUGUUUACACUAAUUAGAAUUAUGAGAGAAUUGAACACCAUAGAGACAAUCGAGCACCCUUUGAAGCCAUGUUGUGUGAUUAAAUUCGUUAAAAUUUCUGUAUAGUUAAGAGAUGAUAGAGAAAUUCAUUCAAGUGAAUCUACCAAUUUUGCCAUAAUUACAUAAUAAUGAUUACAUAAUGAUUGCAUAAUAAAAUAUUGCAUCAUUUAAAAGAUUAAUUUUAUCUAUCUAUAUAUACUCUUUUAUUUCUAUGCAUUCAUAAGAAAGUUGCAGCAAUUCAAAGGUUAGUGAUGGAAGUAAAAAAAUCUUUGUAUGUGCUACCUUAAAUUGAUUUUCCAAAUGGUUCUGUUAGUUUUAACAUAUUUUUGAUAUGGUCAUUCAUGAAAAAUAAAUUUUACAAAGUCAUGACUAAAAUGUCAGAUUGAUGCAAUAACUAAUUCCAACUUAUAGUUCAAAUGAUGAUUAAAGAAUAAAAUUGUUUUUGUAUAGAUCUGUUUGCAAAUUUAUUAAUUUUAUUGUUUGCACAUUUAUGUAUCUUUUACUUUAAGGUACUGUUCACAGCUGAUCUUAAGAAGUUCAAAAGAGAAAGUCCAGAUACAAAAAUAAAGGUAACUUUAUUUCUUUGAUAGAUUCAAGACACAUCGUGUCUUAAUAUUGUAAUAAUUGUUUUAAAUUUUCUAUUUCACACCACAAUUACUGCAGAAUAUUUUUUAUUGGAUGUAUUAGUACAUCUCAAAUGUAAAAUAAAAUUAUACAAAACAUUACAAAAUCAGACUUCUCACAGCAAGCAAUCCUAAUUUUUAGUUCAUUUGACCCUUAUGGCCAUGUGAUGAACAUGUUCACAGUUGUAUUGCUUUGACUGUGCAACAGUCCUAGUCAACUUUUUCAAUUUUUAUUUUUAUGUCUUGAAAAGUAUUAUAGAUAGAGAAAAUCUGCCAAAUUCAUAAAUUCUGAGAGUGUCAAAUACUGCCUACAUGUUAUUGGGAUAUCUAGACCACUCAGCCACCUAAAUGUAUAUAUAUAUAUAUAUAUAUAUAUAUAAUGUUUCAUUUACAGGAAAAGGCAAAAAAGAAGAAAGUUAAGUAGUUGUGUUACUAAUAAUUACCUAUUUACCUGCCAGGCAGUGCCUUGUUCUAACAUAUAAAGAUAUCACUGUAGACAAUAGAAUAGAGAGAUGGAAGAUAGAGAGAUGACAGACAUUUCAUAAUUUAUUAAAGACAAAUGGACAGCAAUGGAAUAUUGUAUACAUUUUUGAUUUUCUGCAGACUGUUAUAAAUUGUUGAUAAUGAAUUGUUAGAUAUUUUUACAAGAUAAAUAUGAUAUUAUCCCAUCUAAAAUAAAGCAUU
This 2694-nucleotide long non-coding RNA is filed under the name Mytilus galloprovincialis (Mediterranean mussel). Lineage: Eukaryota; Metazoa; Mollusca; Bivalvia; Mytilida; Mytilidae. The record is from RNAcentral.